AAAAGGGGCUUCUGCAGUGAGUGGUACUCGUGGGGCCGCGAGCCUGCUGUACGUGCGGGGUGACAUCAAGAGGCUUUGGAAGUGUAAUUUUUGGUGUCUGGGCAGCUGGCGGUUGUCGGUCCUGGUGCCCAU
Small nuclear RNA from Phyllostomus discolor (pale spear-nosed bat), 132 nucleotides. RefSeq annotates it as U11 spliceosomal RNA. The transcript has a single exon. The record is from RefSeq and is a predicted model, not a curated record. Lineage: Eukaryota; Metazoa; Chordata; Mammalia; Chiroptera; Phyllostomidae.